UACAGAGGCCCCAAGCAUUAUCCGGAUUCACUGGGCGUAAAGGGUGCGUAGGCGGCUAUAUUAGUCAGGUGUUAAAUCCUCGGGCUUAACCCGAGAAUCGCAUUUGAAACGGUAUAGCUAGAAGAAGUGAGAGGUAAACAGAACUCUCGGUGUAGGGGUGAAAUCCGUUGAUAUCGAGGGGAAUACCAAAUGCGAAGGCAGUUUACUGGCACUUUCUUGACGCUGAGGCACGAAAGCGUGGGUAGCGAACGGG
RNAcentral lists this ribosomal RNA (253 nucleotides) under uncultured prokaryote. RNAcentral's name for it is "partial 16S ribosomal RNA". It matches the Rfam family "Bacterial small subunit ribosomal RNA", at positions 524 to 776 of the family's 1533-position model. The record is from RNAcentral.